AGGGGACGAACAGUUGGAAACGACUGCUAAUACCGCAUACGAUCUAACCUCGGCAUCGAGGAUGGAUGAAAGGUGGCCUCUAUUUAUAAGCUAUCACUGAAGGAGGGGAUUGCGUCUGAUUAGCUAGUUGGAGGGGUAACGGCCCACCAAGGCGAUGAUCAGUAGCCGGUCUGAGAGGAUGAACGGCCACAUUGGGACUGAGACACGGCCCAG
This 213-nucleotide ribosomal RNA is filed under the name uncultured bacterium. RNAcentral describes it as "partial 16S ribosomal RNA". It matches the Rfam family "Bacterial small subunit ribosomal RNA", at positions 137 to 334 of the family's 1533-position model. The record is from RNAcentral.